UACGUAGGGAGCAAGCGUUGUCCGGAAUCAUUGGGCGUAAAGCGCGCGUAGGUGGCCCUGUAAGUCCGCUGUGAAAGUCAAAGGCUCAACCUUUGAAAGCCGGUGGAUACUGCAGGGCUAGAGUACGGAAGAGGCGAGUGGAAUUCCUGGUGUAGCGGUGAAAUGCGUAGAGAUCAGGAAGAACACCGGUGGCGAAAGCGCUCUGCUGGACCUUAACUGACACUGAGGGACGAAAGCUAGGGGAGCGAAUGGG
Molecule: ribosomal RNA, 253 nt
Filed under: uncultured bacterium
Lineage: Bacteria
Description: partial 16S ribosomal RNA
Rfam family: Bacterial small subunit ribosomal RNA
Source: RNAcentral